This 28-nucleotide non-coding RNA is filed under the name Bombyx mori (domestic silkworm). Lineage: Eukaryota; Metazoa; Arthropoda; Insecta; Lepidoptera; Bombycidae. The record is from RNAcentral.
UGAAGAUCAAAGAUGGCUGCGCUCCCUU